This 118-nucleotide ribosomal RNA is filed under the name Pteropus alecto (black flying fox). Lineage: Eukaryota; Metazoa; Chordata; Mammalia; Chiroptera; Pteropodidae. The record is from RNAcentral.
GUCUACGGCCAUGCUACCCUGAACAAGCCCGAUCUCGUCUGAUCUCGGAAGCUAAACAGGGUCAGGCUGGUUAGUACAUGGAUGAGAACCCACCUAGGAAGACCGGGUGCUGCAGGCA